Molecule: ribosomal RNA, 434 nt
Filed under: uncultured bacterium
Lineage: Bacteria
Description: partial 16S ribosomal RNA
Rfam family: Bacterial small subunit ribosomal RNA
Source: RNAcentral
AGCGAGCGCUGGCGGCAGGCCUAACACAUGCCAGUCGAACGAACCUUUCGGGGUUAGUGGCGGACGGGUGAGUAACACGUGGGAACGUGCCUUUAGGUUCGGAAUAACUCAGGGAAACUUGUGCUAAUACCGAAUGUGCCCUUCGGGGGAAAGAUUUAUCGCCUUUAGAGCGGCCCGCGUCUGAUUAGCUAGUUGGUUGAGGUAAUGGCUCACCAAGGCGACGAUCAGUAGCUGGUCUGAGAGGAUGAUCAGCCACAUUGGGACUGAGACACGGCCCAAACUCCUACGGGAGGCAGCAGUGGGGAAUCUUGCGCAAUGGGCGAAAGCCUGACGCAGCCAUGCCGCGUGAAUGAUGAAGGUCUUAGGAUUGUAAAAUUCUUUCACCGGGGACGAUAAUGACGGUACCCGGAGAAGAAGCCCCGGCUAACUUCGUG